Lynx canadensis (Canada lynx) is the source of this 1345-nucleotide long non-coding RNA. RefSeq lists it as uncharacterized. The record is from RefSeq and is a predicted model, not a curated record. The transcript is spliced from 2 exons. Lineage: Eukaryota; Metazoa; Chordata; Mammalia; Carnivora; Felidae.
GGGCACCCGGGACUCCCUUCCAUUGCUGGCGGGGACUCAAAAUGGGACAGUCACCAGGAAAAGUUUGCUAGUUUCUCAUAUUCACUUACCAGAUGGCUUAGCAAGCCCAAGCCUACGUCUUUAUUUACUCAAAAAGACAUGAAAACAGAUGUCCACGCGUACACCUUACGAGAACUGCUUAUAGCAGCUUCAGUCAUAAUUGCCAAAAGCUGGAAACAACCCAAGGGUCCAUCAACGGCUGAAUAAACCAACUGAAACUCUCAUGACAGACUUUUUUUUUUUUUCCUAAAUAAAAAGACCCAGAAGCAGUGAUGAGAAACCCAAGGCAAGUCUGAAGGAACUUCAGCUGUAAUAAUACCAAAAGGACUGCAACAAAGCAAACACUAGAGUCAUCUUGGGAAGAUCCAAAGGGAAAGGCACUCGUAACGAUCAAGUACGAACAAUGUAGAAGAGCCAGUUAAUGGCCACCACAUCCUGAGAGGACAGAAGCAACAGCACACCUUGGCCACACCAUCUCCUUUCUCUGCCACACGCCUGGGGGGGACUGGAUAACAUCAUUUAAAAAGCCCAAAAGGACUAGGACUUCUACCUCUAUGGCAAUUUGGGGACGCAGGAGGAACUUUGGAUAACUGAAGGCUUUUUUCCUUCCUGGGACUCACUAUUAAAACCGCAAAGGGAUCCUAGACUCUCCAGGGCCGUGAGCUGGGAAACGGGGAAGAACAGAAACGGGGAAAAGGAACGAGUCCUUAAGGCUCUUUUCUGGACAUCGAGAGAAAAGGAAAUGUGAACUCUUUGUCUAAGUUGUUCCAUUUCAGUUUUCUCUCAUGAAAGGAGGCAGGGAUUUGGGACAGAAUUGUCUAGAAAUAAAUAGUAUGCAUGUGCCUGAAUUCCUCAGGAAAUCUCCAUGGGGGUAAAGCCAAGUGGGAGAAAAAAUCUCCUAUUAUAGGAUAUGGCGAUUAUGAUUGACAAGAUGACAUUUCUUGUGUGGGCUGAUCUUAAUUUUCAGAAGCUGACCUUUUCACAUCCACGUACAUUCAAGGUAGAAUUGGGACAGAACAAGGUAAUCGGUGCCUGCUCGGAAAAAUGUUGGCUAAUACUGAAUUAGAAUAAUUAGAUAUAAUUAGAAUAACUUUUUUAAAUGUCACGGUCCUAUAAGCUUUUUAUCAAAACUGAAUGAUCAUACAAUUUAAUCCAUGAAUUUACAGCUUUCGAAUAUUGAUACCAUCUUCGGAAUAAUUCUAAAGAAAGAAUAAAUUCGUAACGAAAGUACCCAGGAAAUCUCUGUAGAGUCUAACGAUCUUUUCAUUUAGCUUAUAGAAUAAAGAACCGUUAUUUGAGCCAGUGA